Molecule: transfer RNA, 76 nt
Filed under: Sulfolobus sp.
Lineage: Archaea; Thermoproteati; Thermoproteota; Thermoprotei; Sulfolobales; Sulfolobaceae
Also listed under: 4 other names
Description: tRNA-Thr
Rfam family: tRNA
About the family: Transfer RNA (tRNA) molecules are approximately 80 nucleotides in length. Their secondary structure includes four short double-helical elements and three loops (D, anti-codon, and T loops). Further hydrogen bonds mediate the characteristic L-shaped molecular structure. tRNAs have two regions of fundamental functional importance: the anti-codon, which is responsible for specific mRNA codon recognition, and the 3' end, to which the tRNAs corresponding amino acid is attached (by aminoacyl-tRNA synthetases). tRNAs cope with the degeneracy of the genetic code in two manners: having more than one tRNA (with a specific anti-codon) for a particular amino acid; and 'wobble' base-pairing, i.e. permitting non-standard base-pairing at the 3rd anti-codon position.
Source: RNAcentral
GCCGCCGUAGCUCAGCCGGUAGAGCGCCGGCCUUGUAAGCCGGUGGUCGCGGGUUCAAGUCCCGCCGGCGGCUCCA